UUUGUGUGUGUGUGUGUCUG
This 20-nucleotide microRNA is filed under the name Corchorus olitorius. RNAcentral's name for it is "mmu-miR-466i-". Lineage: Eukaryota; Viridiplantae; Streptophyta; Magnoliopsida; Malvales; Malvaceae. The record is from RNAcentral.